GAUGUUUCUUGUUUUGUUAAUAAAUUAGAGUGUUGGUUUUCCCGUUUGAAUGUGUUUCACUGGUCAUUUUGGGGCUCUUUAUAGCUUCCUGUUCUGUGUGAGCCACAUCUCCUUGUUGGAGGGCAUACUUUGACCUAUAAUUGUUUAACUUUAAAUACUUUUUGACUAGGAUGGAGAUUUGUCUGAUUGGCACUCAUACCACCUCUUCUUAUUUAUAUAUGUAUAAUGAUAAAAACUUGUAACAUAAGUGUAAUAAAAAUUUGCCUUUAUAUAUUGCUAUCACGUUGUCGUCGUAGACAUUUUAGUUUCCGG
RNAcentral lists this long non-coding RNA (312 nucleotides) under Mytilus galloprovincialis (Mediterranean mussel). Lineage: Eukaryota; Metazoa; Mollusca; Bivalvia; Mytilida; Mytilidae. The record is from RNAcentral.